AACACUUUAACAAUGAUUUUUGGUCUCGCAACGAUGAAGAACGCAGCGAAAUGCGAUACGUAAUGUGAAUGCAACGCCAGUGAAUCAUCAAUCUUGAACGCAUAUUGCGCUUGGGGGUAUUCCCCCAAGCACGUCUGUUUGAGUGUCC
Molecule: ribosomal RNA, 148 nt
Filed under: Planomonas brevis
Lineage: Eukaryota; Ancyromonadida; Planomonadidae
Description: partial 5.8S ribosomal RNA
Rfam family: 5.8S ribosomal RNA
About the family: 5.8S ribosomal RNA (5.8S rRNA) is a component of the large subunit of the eukaryotic ribosome. It is transcribed by RNA polymerase I as part of the 45S precursor that also contains 18S and 28S rRNA. Functionally, it is thought that 5.8S rRNA may be involved in ribosome translocation.
Source: RNAcentral